AUGCAGUCGAACGAGAAAGUGGAGCAAUCCAUGAGUAAAGUGGCGACCGGGUGAGUAACACGUGACUAACCUACCUUUCAGUGGGGAAUAACCUCGGGAAACCGUGGCUAAUACCGCAUAAUGUCUUCGGACCAAAGGAGCAAUUCGCUGGAAGAGGGGGUCGCGGCCGAUUAGCUAGUUGGCGGGGUAACGGCCCACCAAGGCAAUGAUCGGUAGCCGGCCUGAGAGGGCGCACGGCCACACUGGAACUGAAACACGGUCCAGACUCCUACGGGAGGCAGCAGUGGGGAAUUUUGCGCAAUGGGGGAAACCCUGACGCAGCAACGCCGCGUGGAGGAUGAAGCCCCUUGGGGUGUAAACUCCUUUCGAUCGGGACGAUGAUGACGGUACCGGAUGAAGAAGCACCGGCUAACUCUGUGCCAGCACCCGCGGUAAUACAGAGGGUGCAAGCGUUGUUCGGAAUUAUUGGGCGUAAAGGGUGCGUAGGCGGUGCGGUAAGUCUGUUGUGAAAUCUCCGGGCUUAACUCGGAGCCUGCAACGGAAACUGCCGUGCUGGAGUAUGGGAGAGGUGAGUGGAAUUCCCGGUGUAGCGGUGAUAUGCGUAUAUAUCGGGAGGAACACCUGUGAUGAAAAGCGGCUCACUUGGACCAUUACUGACGCUGAUGCACGAAAGCAGGGGAGCAAACCGGAUUAGAUACCCUGGUAGUCCUAGCCCUAAACGAUGAUCGCUUGGAGUUGGCAGGAACCCAAUCCUGUCUUGCCGGAUCUAACGGGUUAAUCG
This 781-nucleotide ribosomal RNA is filed under the name uncultured bacterium. Its description in RNAcentral is "bacterial SSU rRNA". It matches the Rfam family "Bacterial small subunit ribosomal RNA", at positions 55 to 866 of the family's 1533-position model. The record is from RNAcentral.